This 460-nucleotide ribosomal RNA is filed under the name uncultured bacterium. RNAcentral describes it as "partial 16S ribosomal RNA". It matches the Rfam family "Bacterial small subunit ribosomal RNA", at positions 338 to 795 of the family's 1533-position model. The record is from RNAcentral.
CCUACGGGAGGCAGCAGUGAGGAAUAUUGGUCAAUGGACGAGAGUCUGAACCAGCCAAGUAGCGUGAAGGAUGACUGCCCUAUGGGUUGUAAACUUCUUUUAUAAAGGAAUAAAACGAGGCACGUGUGCCUUUUUGCAUGUACUUUAUGAAUAAGGAUCGGCUAACUCCGUGCCAGCAGCCGCGGUAAUACGGAGGAUCCGAGCAUUAUCCGGAUUUAUUGGGUUUAAAGGGAGCGUAGAUGGGUUGUUAAGUCAGUUGGGAAAGUUUGCGGCUCAACCGUAAAAUUGCAAUUGAUACUGGCAGUCUUGAGUACAAGUGAGGUAAGCGGAAUGCGUGGUGUAGCGGUGAAAUGCUUAGAUAUCACGAAGAACCCCGAUUGCGAAGGCAGCUUACUAAACUGUGACUGACAUUGAUGCUCGAAAGUGUGGGUAUCAAACAGGAUUAGAUACCCGUGUAGUC